GACGAACGCUGGCGGCGUGCUUAACACAUGCAAGUCGAACGGAAAGGCCCUGCUUUUGUGGGGUGCUCGAGUGGCGAACGGGUGAGUAACACGUGAGUAACCUGCCCUUGACUUUGGGAUAACUUCAGGAAACUGGGGCUAAUACCGGAUAGGAGCUCCUGCUGCAUGGUGGGGGUUGGAAAGUUUCGGCGGUUGGGGAUGGACUCGCGGCUUAUCAGCUUGUUGGUGGGGUAGUGGCUUACCAAGGCUUUGACGGGUAGCCGGCCUGAGAGGGUGACCGGCCACAUUGGGACUGAGGUACGGCCCAGACGCCUACGGUAGGCAGCAGUGGGGAAUAUUGCACAAUGGGCGGAAGCCUGAUGCAGCAACGCCGCGUUCGUGAUGACGGCCUUCGGGUUGUAAACCGCUUUCGCCUGUGACGAAGCGUGAGUGACGGUAAUGGGUAAAGAAGCACCGGCUAACUACGUG
RNAcentral lists this ribosomal RNA (468 nucleotides) under uncultured bacterium. RNAcentral's name for it is "partial 16S ribosomal RNA". It matches the Rfam family "Bacterial small subunit ribosomal RNA", at positions 28 to 507 of the family's 1533-position model. The record is from RNAcentral.